UACGUAGGGGGGCUAGCGUUGUCCGGAAUUAUUGGGCGUAAAGAGCUCGUAGGCGGUCCGGUAAGUCCGCUCUGAAAGUCCGGGGGCUCAACCCCCGGGAGGCGGGCGGAUACUGUCGGGCUAGAGUCCGGAAGAGGCGAGUGGAAUUCCUGGUGUAGCGGUGAAAUGCGCAGAUAUCAGGAGGAACACCAAUGGCGAAGGCAGCUCGCUGGGACGGUACUGACGCUGAGGCGCGAAAGCGUGGGGGAGCAAACAGG
Molecule: ribosomal RNA, 257 nt
Filed under: uncultured bacterium
Lineage: Bacteria
Description: partial 16S ribosomal RNA
Rfam family: Bacterial small subunit ribosomal RNA
Source: RNAcentral